This 253-nucleotide ribosomal RNA is filed under the name uncultured bacterium. RNAcentral's name for it is "partial 16S ribosomal RNA". It matches the Rfam family "Bacterial small subunit ribosomal RNA", at positions 524 to 776 of the family's 1533-position model. The record is from RNAcentral.
UACGAAGGGGGCUAGCGUUGUUCGGAAUUACUGGGCGUAAAGGGCGCGUAGGCGGUGUGUCAAGUCAGGCGUGAAAGCCCCGGGCUUAACCUGGGAACUGCGUUUGAUACGGAUGGGCUAGAGUUCGGGAGAGGAGAGUGGAAUUCCCAGUGUAGAGGUGAAAUUCGUAGAUAUUGGGAAGAACACCGGUGGCGAAGGCGGCUCUCUGGACCGAUACUGACGCUGAGGCGCGAAAGCGUGGGGAGCAAACAGG